UACGUAGGGGGCAAGCGUUGUCCGGAUUUAUUGGGCGUAAAGAGCGUGUAGGCGGCCAGGUAGGUCUGCUGUGAAAACUCGAGGCUCAACCUCGAGACGUCGGUGGAAACCGUAUGGCUAGAGUCCGGAAGAGGAGAGUGGAAUUCCUGGUGUAGCGGUGAAAUGCGCAGAUAUCAGGAAGAACACCCGUGGCGAAGGCGGCUCUCUGGGACGGUACUGACGCUGAGACGCGAAAGCGUGGGGAGCGAACAGG
This 253-nucleotide ribosomal RNA is filed under the name uncultured bacterium. RNAcentral's name for it is "partial 16S ribosomal RNA". It matches the Rfam family "Bacterial small subunit ribosomal RNA", at positions 524 to 776 of the family's 1533-position model. The record is from RNAcentral.